RNAcentral lists this microRNA precursor (103 nucleotides) under Marmota monax (woodchuck). The record is from RNAcentral. Lineage: Eukaryota; Metazoa; Chordata; Mammalia; Rodentia; Sciuridae.
AGGGGAAUAGCUGGGUCAAAUGGUGGUUCCAGUCCCAGCUUUCCAAGAAAUCUCCAUAAUGAUUUCCAAAUUGGCUGCACCAAUUUGCAGUCUCAACAGCAAU